This 434-nucleotide ribosomal RNA is filed under the name uncultured bacterium. Its description in RNAcentral is "bacterial SSU rRNA". It matches the Rfam family "Bacterial small subunit ribosomal RNA", at positions 958 to 1392 of the family's 1533-position model. The record is from RNAcentral.
AACGCGAAGAACCUUACCUACUCUUGACAUCCAGAGAACUUAGCAGAGAUGCUUUGGUGCCUUCGGGAACUCUGAGACAGGUGCUGCAUGGCUGUCGUCAGCUCGUGUUGUGAAAUGUUGGGUUAAGUCCCGCAACGAGCGCAACCCUUAUCCUUUGUUGCCAGCGGUUCGGCCGGGAACUCAAAGGAGACUGCCAGUGAUAAACUGGAGGAAGGUGGGGAUGACGUCAAGUCAUCAUGGCCCUUACGAGUAGGGCUACACACGUGCUACAAUGGCAUAUACAAAGAGAAGCGACCUCGCGAGAGCAAGCGGACCUCAUAAAGUACGUCGUAGUCCGGAUUGGAGUCUGCAACUCGACUCCAUGAAGUCGGAAUCGCUAGUAAUCGUAGAUCAGAAUGCUACGGUGAAUACGUUCCCGGGCCUUGUACACACCG